GAAGCACCGGCUAACUCCGUGCCAGCAGCCGCGGUAAUACGUAGGGUGCGAGCGUUAAUCGGAAUUACUGGGCGUAAAGCGUGCGCAGGCGGUUUUUUAAGACAGGCGUGAAAUCCCCGGGCUUAACCUGGGAACUGCGCUUGUGACUGGAAGGCUAGAGUACGGCAGAGGGGGGUGGAAUUCCACGUGUAGCAGUGAAAUGCGUAGAGAUGUGGAGGAACACCGAUGGCGAAGGCAGCCCCCUGGGCCGAUACUGACGCUCAUGCACGAAAGCGUGGGGAGCAAACAGGAUUAGAUACCCUGGUAGUCCACGCCCUAAACGAUGUCAACUAGUUGUUGGG
Molecule: ribosomal RNA, 341 nt
Filed under: uncultured bacterium
Lineage: Bacteria
Description: bacterial SSU rRNA
Rfam family: Bacterial small subunit ribosomal RNA
Source: RNAcentral